UUGGAGGGCAAGUCUGGUGCCAGCAGCCGCGGUAAUUCCAGCUCCAAUGGCGUAUAUUAAAGUUGUUGCAGUUAAAAAGCUCGUAGUUGAAUUUCGGAGUUUGUCGGUCGGUCGGGCUUCACUGUCCGCACUGGCCUGACGGAUUCCUACCUUCUGAAUAACCAGCAUGCUAUUAAGUUAGUGCGUUGGGGAAGCAGAGCUAUUACCUUGAAAAAAUUAGAGUGCUUAAGGCAGGCUUAUGCUUGAAUAGAUUAGCAUGGAAUAAUAAAAUAGGACGGCAUGGUUCUAUUUUGUUGGUUUCUAGGAUCACCGUAAUGAUUAAUAGGGAUAGUUGGGGGCAUUAGUAUUCAAUUGUCAGAGGUGAAAUUCUUGGAUUUAUUGAAGACUAACUACUGCGAAAGCAUUUGCCAAGGAUGUUUUCAUUAAUCAAGAACGAAAGUUAGGGGAUCGAAGACGAUCAGAUACCGUCGUAGUCUUAACCAUAAACUAUGCCGACUAGGGAUCGGAUGAUGUUAAUUUUUUAAUGACUCAUUCGGCGCCUUACGGGAAAC
RNAcentral lists this ribosomal RNA (551 nucleotides) under uncultured Acaulosporaceae. Its description in RNAcentral is "SSU rRNA". It matches the Rfam family "Eukaryotic small subunit ribosomal RNA", at positions 548 to 1098 of the family's 1831-position model. The record is from RNAcentral. Lineage: Eukaryota; Fungi; Glomeromycota; Glomeromycetes; Diversisporales; Acaulosporaceae.